UUUUCCAAUCCCCACUUCCCCGUCUCCUCCACGGACCCCCAAAAAAUCCCAAAUUGCCGGCGGAACCCUAGCUCUGGUGCUAGUGCUACUGCCACCACCUCCGGCGGAAUCGGCGGCGGCUCCUCCCCGGCGCCGCACCUCGGAGGUUGCGCUGCUCGGAGCGUCGCCCGUCGCGUCCUUCCUCCGGCUACACCUUCAGGAUUCGCGCCGCUCUGGUCCGAGGGCUUUGGACCGUCCUCUUACCUCUGUGCACAUGUGUUAUCCGUUCAUGUGCAAAGCAGGACGUUUACACCAUCAACGGGUGUCAGACAUGGACUCUUCCACCCUCCUUUGCCAGUGUUGUGUCAUGCUCGAGCACGCCAUCAACUUGUGCCGGACACGGACUCCACAUGAACUCCCUCCUUUGCCACAUAAUAGGCAUCGAGUGCUCUAAGGAAGCAUCCAAUCUCGCUGUUCUACCAACUUCGCCGGAACACCGACCGCCGGUGCUCCACCUGAGGUUGUUUUCAACUGGAGACAAAAUCAGUGUUAUUGUCAUGCAUGGAAGAAGAGCUCGACCUUAUUGCUAACAUGUUUUAUCGCAGACCAUGCUGUAGAGUCGCACAAACCGCUAGUGCUGCUUUUGCUUUGUGACAUUUUCAGAUCCACAGAUAGAUCCGCUGAUGGAUUUAAGUUUUCAUUCACCAACUACUCAAUUCCUCGGAGAUGAGGAUCGUUCUGUAGCUCAUAUUGGCACCUCAACAAUUUUAAUUCCCUGGCGCCACAUGGACUUGGAUCAAUUUUUUCUUCCUAAAAUGUAUUGAAUUUAUUAUGAUUCAUUGAAGUCAUUUGACAAAGAGAAAUGUUCUCUGUAUAGUGGAUACAAGUACUCAUCAUAGAUCCUUUUACUUGCUAGCAACAAGGAGGUUUGUAUCUUCUCAUCUUUUCAAUGAAAUGAAACGCAAAGAGUCCUUUGCGUUUUCUCGAAAAAAAAAGAAAAAAAAAGCAACAAUUGAUAUUCCUAAUCAGUCUGCACCUUGGCAGGCGGAUCCAUCAGCAUGGAGAAGUUCGAUGAUUUUAAGGUUGGUGACUGGGUUACAGUCAAAGCAACAGGCGAUUCAGGUUUGUGUGGAAAGUUCUCACCUAUUAACAAAGGAUCUCAUUUUAAAUCAAAAUUGUGGAUGCCCAGUAGGUGCUUGGCUGAUGGAGAGUGUUGCACUGCUGCUUAUUUAAUGGAAAACAGCAGGAAGGAAAUAGAGCGGGUUGUGUGUCAUCAUGCACGCAGUCUACCUUCCAUUGGCGUGCGAGUACUUGCAUUUGGAUCGCCCAAUUGUGUGUGCACAGCAGGGGACCAUGCGCUGGAACAUCGGAUUCAACCUACUCACAAGUUGAAGAGAAGGUUACGUAUGCUUUUUAAUUUUUGAACAAUCAGUACUGCACCAGCGGUAAUCUACAGGGAAGGCAAGGAUAACUAGAUUAAACAUUUCACAAGAUCCUCCCAAUUAUAGGCACAAUCUCCUUUUCAAGAUAUUACGAGUGGUUGACUACCGGAGAUUAUCAGAUGGAAAGAUGGUUGUAUGAUCUUCGAGGCUGCUGCUUCUUUGUUAUGUCGAUCGAGGCUGUAUGAUCUGUGCAGGUUGCUGCUUGUUUGUUCUGUCAGUGGAGGUCACCGCCGUGUCUCCCGCCGGUCCGCGACAUAGCUUGCAAUCUAGGUUGUUGCCAAGUUAACUUGGGAUUGGUAACCUACAAUGUAUCAUGUGAAGGUGGGAUUACAUUCUAUACUCUUGAAACUAUGUACUCCCUCCGUUCCUAAAUAUUUGUCUUUCUAGAGAUUUCAACAAGUGACUACAUACGGAGCAAAAUGAGUGAAUCUACACUCUAAUAUAUGUCUAUAUACAUCCGUAUAUGGUAACCAUUUGAAAUCCCUAAAAAGACAAAUAUUUAGGAACGGAGGGAGUAGAAUUUUGUAUGUACAUUGUUCACUUCAGCAAAAUAGAGAUCCCCUAACUAGCAUAUAAAUGUUGGCUAUGAUCGCACUUUUCUACAUUGUCAUAUUUGUAGAUAUGCUGUGUGAUGGAGUAUCAACUAGCUACCUUUGGUCGCACUUAGUAUAAAAGUCUCAAUUGUGGUGAUUUUUUUGCAGUUCA
This is a long non-coding RNA of Triticum aestivum (bread wheat), 2126 nucleotides long. RefSeq lists it as uncharacterized. The record is from RefSeq and is a predicted model, not a curated record. NCBI's taxonomy places the organism in Eukaryota, Viridiplantae, Streptophyta, Magnoliopsida, Poales, Poaceae. The transcript is spliced from 13 exons.